GACGAACGCUGGCGGCGUGCUUAACACAUGCAAGUCGAACGGAAAGGCCCUGCUUGCAGGGUACUCGAGUGGCGAACGGGUGAGUAACACGUGGGUGAUCUGCCCUGCACUUCGGGAUAAGCCUGGGAAACUGGGUCUAAUACCGGAUAGGAGCCAUUUUUAGUGUGAUGGUUGGAAAGUUUUUUCGGUGUAGGAUGAGCUCGCGGCCUAUCAGCUUGUUGGUGGGGUAAUGGCCUACCAAGGCGGCGACGGGUAGCCGGCCUGAGAGGGUGGACGGCCACAUUGGGACUGAGAUACGGCCCAGACUCCUACGGGAGGCAGCAGUGGGGAAUAUUGCACAAUGGGCGCAAGCCGGAUGCAGCGACGCCGCGUGGGGGAGGACGGCCUUCGGGUUGUAAACGCCUUUCGCUAGGGACGAAGCUUUUUGUGACGGUACCUAGAUAAGAAGCACCGGCUAACUACGUG
This 465-nucleotide ribosomal RNA is filed under the name uncultured bacterium. Its description in RNAcentral is "partial 16S ribosomal RNA". It matches the Rfam family "Bacterial small subunit ribosomal RNA", at positions 28 to 507 of the family's 1533-position model. The record is from RNAcentral.